RNAcentral lists this ribosomal RNA (492 nucleotides) under uncultured bacterium. RNAcentral describes it as "partial 16S ribosomal RNA". It matches the Rfam family "Bacterial small subunit ribosomal RNA", at positions 29 to 507 of the family's 1533-position model. The record is from RNAcentral.
AGUGAACGCUGGCGGUAGGCCUAACACAUGCCAGUCGAACGGCAGCACAGUAAGAGCUUGCUCUUACGGGUGGCGAGUGGCGGACGGGUGAGGAAUACAUCGGAAUCUACUUUUUCGUGGGGGAUAACGUAGGGAAACUUACGCUAAUACCGCAUACGACCUACGGGUGAAAGCAGGGGAUCUUCGGACCUUGCGCGAUUGAAUGAGCCGAUGUCGGAUUAGCUAGUUGGCGGGGUAAAGACCCACCAAGGCGACGAUCCGCAGCUGGUCUGAGAGGAUGAUCAGCCACACUGGAACUGAGACACGGUCCAGACUCCUACGGGAGGCAGCAGUGGGGAAUAUUGGACAAUGGGCGCAAGCCUGAUCCAGCCAUACCGCGUGGGUGAAGAAGGCCUUCGGGUUGUAAAGCCCUUUUGUUGGGAAAGAAAAGCAGCAGGUUAAUACCCCGCUGUUCUGACGGUACCCAAAGAAUAAGCACCGGCUAACUUCGUG